Molecule: ribosomal RNA, 497 nt
Filed under: uncultured bacterium
Lineage: Bacteria
Description: partial 16S ribosomal RNA
Rfam family: Bacterial small subunit ribosomal RNA
Source: RNAcentral
GAUGAACGCUGGCGGCGUGCCUAAUACAUGCAAGUCGAGCGAACGGACGAGAAGCUUGCUUCUCUGAUGUUAGCGGCGGACGGGUGAGUAACACGUGGAUAACCUAACUAUAAGACUGGGAUAACUUCGGGAAACCGGAGCUAAUAACGGAUGAUAUUUUGAACCGAAUGGUUCAAAAGUGAAAGAGGGUCUUGCUGUCACUUAUAGAUGGAUCCGCGCUGCAUUAGCUAGUUGGUAAGGUAACCGCUUACAAAGGCAACGAUGCAUAGCCGACCUGAGAGGAAGAACCGCCACACUGGAACUUUGAAACGGUCCAGACUCCGACGGGAGGCCGCAGUUGGGAAUCUUCCGCCAGGGGCGAAAGCCUGACGGAGCAACGCCGCGUGAGUAGUGAAGGUCUUCGGUUCGUAAAACUCUGUUAUUAGGGAAGAACAUAUAUCUAAGUAACUGUGCACAUCUUGACGGUACCUAAGCAGAAAGCCACGGCUAACUUCGUG